Molecule: long non-coding RNA, 406 nt
Filed under: Ornithorhynchus anatinus (platypus)
Lineage: Eukaryota; Metazoa; Chordata; Mammalia; Monotremata; Ornithorhynchidae
Description: lncRNA (ENSOANG00000040372.1)
Source: RNAcentral
UCUUUUCUGCAUUGCCGGAUGAAGAAGGAACGGAGAAGGGAGACUUGGCCUGAUGCUUGGAUGGGACCCCAUUGGUCUGCUAAACCUCCUUUUGAUGUGCCGCUGGACCCAGACUGUGGAAAGCGAUUGCUGCCUGUGCCAGUUUCUUGGAAGAAUUCCCACUUCUUAGCCUCUCUACUCCCUUUCUCCCUCAUCGGGAAGUACUCAGAGGGCUCUAAACCAAAAUUGACUCUCAACCAGUGGGCACAAUUUUAAUUGGAAAUUAAAAGAUGAAGUACACGGGCUCAUCUUCUAAAUAACGGUGAUUUCUCCACUCUUUCACCCCCCUCUUGACUCCCCCACCCCCCGGCCUUUCAUUAAUCGGUGAGGGGUAUUUAUUGAGCACUUAUUAUGUGGGAGAACGUUU